GAGCGAAAGCGACGUUCAACCUCAAAAGAAGCAGAGGGGGCUUAGUGGUGGGUGUGACUGCGUACCUUUUGUAUAAUGGGUCAGCGACUUAUAUUCUGUAGCAAGGUUAACCGAAUAGGGGAGCCGGAGGGAAACCGAGUCUUAAUUGGGCGUUAAGUUGCAGGGUAUAGACCCGAAACCCGGUGAUCUAGCCAUGGGCAGGUUGAAGGUUGGGUAACACUAACUGGAGGACCGAACCGACUAAUGUUGAAAAAUUAGCGGAUGACCUGUGGCUGGGGGUGAAAGGCCAAUCAAACCGGGAGAUAGCUGGUUCUCCCCGAAAGCUAUUUAGGUAGCGCCUCGUGAAUUCAUCUCCGGGGGUAGAGCACUGUUUCGGCUAGGGGGCCAUCCCGGCUUACCAACCCGAUGCAAACUGCGAAUACCGGAGAAUGUUAUCACGGGAGACACACGGCGGGUGCUAACGUCCGUCGUGAAGAGGGAAACAACCCAGACCGCCAGCUAAGGUCCCAAAGUCAUGGUUAAGUGGGAAACGAUGUGGGAAGGCCCAGACAGCCAGGAUGUUGGCUUAGAAGCAGCCAUCAUUUAAAGAAAGCGUAAUAGCUCACUGGUCGAGUCGGCCUGCGCGGAAGAUGUAACGGGGCUAAACCAUGCACCGAAGCUGCGGCAGCGACGCUGAUGCGUUGUUGGGUAGGGGAGCGUUCUGUAAGCCUGCGAAGGUGGCCUGUGAGGGUUGCUGGAGGUAUCAGAAGUGCGAAUGCUGACAUAAGUAACGAUAAAGCGGGUGAAAAGCCCGCUCGCCGGAAGACCAAGGGUUCCUGUCCAACGUUAAUCGGGGCAGGGUGAGUCGACCCCUAAGGCGAGGCCGAAAGGCGUAGUCGAUGGGAAACGGGUUAAUAUUCCCGUACUUGGUGUUACUGCGAAGGGGGGACGGAGAAGGCUAUGUUGGCCGGGCGACGGUUGUCCCGGUUUAAGCGUGUAGGUGUGUGUUCCAGGUAAAUCCGGUUCACUUUAACACUGAGGCGUGAUGACGAGGCACUACGGUGCUGAAGCAACAAAUGCCCUGCUUCCAGGAAAAGCCUCUAAGCAUCAGGUAACAUCAAAUCGUACCCCAAACCGACACAGGUGGUCAGGUAGAGAAUACCAAGGCGCUUGAGAGAACUCGGGUGAAGGAACUAGGCAAAAUGGUGCCGUAACUUCGGGAGAAGGCACGCUGACACGUAGGUGAAGUGAUUUACUCAUGGAGCUGAAGUCAGUCGAAGAUACCAGCUGGCUGCAACUGUUUAUUAAAAACACAGCACUGUGCAAACACGAAAGUGGACGUAUACGGUGUGACGCCUGCCCGGUGCCGGAAGGUUAAUUGAUGGGGUCAGCGCAAGCGAAGCUCCUGAUCGAAGCCCCGGUAAACGGCGGCCGUAACUAUAACGGUCCUAAGGUAGCGAAAUUCCUUGUCGGGUAAGUUCCGACCUGCACGAAUGGCGUAAUGAUGGCCAGGCUGUCUCCACCCGAGACUCAGUGAAAUUGAACUCGCUGUGAAGAUGCAGUGUACCCGCGGCAAGACGGAAAGACCCCGUGAACCUUUACUAUAGCUUGACACUGAACAUUGAGCCUUGAUGUGUAGGAUAGGUGGGAGGCUUUGAAGUGUGGACGCCAGUCUGCAUGGAGCCGGCCUUGAAAUACCACCCUUUAAUGUUUGAUGUUCUAACGUGGACCCGUGAUCCGGGUUGCGGACAGUGUCUGGUGGGUAGUUUGACUGGGGCGGUCUCCUCCUAAAGAGUAACGGAGGAGCACGAAGGUUGGCUAAUCCUGGUCGGACAUCAGGAGGUUAGUGCAAUGGCAUAAGCCAGCUUGACUGCGAGCGUGACGGCGCGAGCAGGUGCGAAAGCAGGUCAUAGUGAUCCGGUGGUUCUGAAUGGAAGGGCCAUCGCUCAACGGAUAAAAGGUACUCCGGGGAUAACAGGCUGAUACCGCCCAAGAGUUCAUAUCGACGGCGGUGUUUGGCACCUCGAUGUCGGCUCAUCACAUCCUGGGGCUGAAGUAGGUCCCAAGGGUAUGGCUGUUCGCCAUUUAAAGUGGUACGCGAGCUGGGUUUAGAACGUCGUGAGACAGUUCGGUCCCUAUCUGCCGUGGGCGCUGGAGAACUGAGGGGGGCUGCUCCUAGUACGAGAGGACCGGAGUGGACGCAUCACUGGUGUUCGGGUUGUCAUGCCAAUGGCACUGCCCGGUAGCUAAAUGCGGAAGAGAUAAGUGCUGAAAGCAUCUAAGCACGAAACUUGCCCCGAGAUGAGUUCUCCCUGAGACUUAGAGUCUCCUGAAGGAACGUUGAAGACGACGACGUUGAUAGGCCGGGUGUGUAAGCGCAGCGAUGCGUUGAGCUAACCGGUACUAAUGAACCGUGAGGCUUAACCUUACAACGCCGAAG
Molecule: ribosomal RNA, 2419 nt
Filed under: Salmonella enterica subsp. enterica serovar Schwarzengrund
Lineage: Bacteria; Pseudomonadati; Pseudomonadota; Gammaproteobacteria; Enterobacterales; Enterobacteriaceae
Description: partial 23S ribosomal RNA
Rfam family: Bacterial large subunit ribosomal RNA
Source: RNAcentral